Molecule: transfer RNA, 71 nt
Filed under: Ictidomys tridecemlineatus (thirteen-lined ground squirrel)
Lineage: Eukaryota; Metazoa; Chordata; Mammalia; Rodentia; Sciuridae
Description: Spermophilus tridecemlineatus (thirteen-lined ground squirrel) tRNA
Rfam family: tRNA
About the family: Transfer RNA (tRNA) molecules are approximately 80 nucleotides in length. Their secondary structure includes four short double-helical elements and three loops (D, anti-codon, and T loops). Further hydrogen bonds mediate the characteristic L-shaped molecular structure. tRNAs have two regions of fundamental functional importance: the anti-codon, which is responsible for specific mRNA codon recognition, and the 3' end, to which the tRNAs corresponding amino acid is attached (by aminoacyl-tRNA synthetases). tRNAs cope with the degeneracy of the genetic code in two manners: having more than one tRNA (with a specific anti-codon) for a particular amino acid; and 'wobble' base-pairing, i.e. permitting non-standard base-pairing at the 3rd anti-codon position.
Source: Rfam by way of RNAcentral
GUGGCUGUGGCUCAGUGGUAGAGCACUUGCCCAGCAUGCGGGAAAUACUGGGUUCAAUUCUCCGCACCACA